AUCUGCCCUGCACUCUGGGAUAAGCCUGGGAAACUGGGUCUAAUACCGGAUAUGAGCUCCUGUCGCAUGGCGGGGGUUGGAAAGGUUUACUGGUGCAGGAUGGGCCCGCGGCCUAUCAGCUUGUUGGUGGGGUAAUGGCCUACCAAGGCGACGACGGGUAGCCGGCCUGAGAGGGCGACCGGCCACACUGGGACUGAGACACGGCCCAGACUCCUACGGGAGGCAGCAGUGGGGAAUAUUGCACAAUGGGCGAAAGCCUGAUGCAGCGACGCCGCGUGAGGGAUGACGGCCUUCGGGUUGUAAACCUCUUUCAGCAGGGACGAAGCGAGAGUGACGGUACCUGCAGAAGAAGCACC
This 356-nucleotide ribosomal RNA is filed under the name Rhodococcus (subgen. Prescottella) equi. RNAcentral describes it as "Prescottella equi bacterial SSU rRNA". It matches the Rfam family "Bacterial small subunit ribosomal RNA", at positions 124 to 494 of the family's 1533-position model. The record is from RNAcentral. Lineage: Bacteria; Bacillati; Actinomycetota; Actinomycetes; Mycobacteriales; Nocardiaceae.